This 3107-nucleotide ribosomal RNA is filed under the name Microbacterium sp. MYb64. RNAcentral describes it as "bacterial LSU rRNA". It matches the Rfam family "Bacterial large subunit ribosomal RNA". The record is from RNAcentral. Lineage: Bacteria; Bacillati; Actinomycetota; Actinomycetes; Micrococcales; Microbacteriaceae.
UUCAAGUCUUUAAGAGCAAACGGUGAAUGCCUUGGCAUCUGGAGCCGAAGAAGGACGUAGCAAUCUGCGAUAAGCCUCGGGGAACUGAUAAGCGAGUUUUGAUCCGAGGGUGUCCGAAUGGGGAAACCCCGCUGGGCGGCGUGCCGACCUAGUGACUCCCGCCUGAAUAUAUAGGGCGGGUAGAGGGAACGUGGGGAAGUGAAACAUCUCAGUACCCACAGGAAGAGAAAACAACAUGUGAUUCCGUGAGUAGUGGCGAGCGAAAGCGGAUGAGGCUAAACCGGGUGUGUGUGAUAGCCGGCAGGCGUUGCAUGCCCGGGGUUGCGGGACUUUUCUGAUUGUUCUGCCGAACUUUCAGCGUUACAAGCAGGUAUAGACGAACGGCUUUGAAUGGCCGGUCAUAGAGGGUGCGAACCCCGUAGUCGAAAUGCCUGGCUUGGCGUGAAGAGUAUCCCAAGUAGCACGGGGCCCGAGAAAUCCCGUGUGAAUCUGUCAGGACCACCUGAUAAGCCUAAAUACUCCCAGAUGACCGAUAGCGGACAAGUACCGUGAGGGAAAGGUGAAAAGUACCCCGGGAGGGGAGUGAAAUAGUACCUGAAACCGUUUGCUUACAAACCGUUGGAGCCUCCUUAGUAGGGGUGACAGCGUGCCUUUUGAAGAAUGAGCCUGCGAGUUAGCGAUACGUGGCGAGGUUAACCCGUGUGGGGUAGCCGUAGCGAAAGCGAGUCUGAAUAGGGCGAUUCAGUCGCGUGUCCUAGACCCGAAGCGAAGUGAUCUAUCCAUGGCCAGGCUGAAGCGACGGUAAGACGUCGUGGAGGGCCGAACCCACUUAGGUUGAAAACUGAGGGGAUGAGCUGUGGAUAGGGGUGAAAGGCCAAUCAAACUUCGUGAUAGCUGGUUCUCUCCGAAAUGCAUUUAGGUGCAGCGUUGCGUGUUUCUUGCCGGAGGUAGAGCUACUGGAUGGCCGAUGGGCCCUACAAGGUUACUGACGUCAGCCAAACUCCGAAUGCCGGUAAGUGAGAGCGCAGCAGUGAGACUGUGGGGGAUAAGCUUCAUAGUCGAGAGGGAAACAACCCAGACCACCAUCUAAGGUCCCUAAGCGCGUGCUAAGUGGGAAAGGAUGUGGAGUUGCUGUGACAACCAGGAGGUUGGCUUAGAAGCAGCCACCCUUGAAAGAGUGCGUAAUAGCUCACUGGUCAAGUGAUUCCGCGCCGACAAUGUAACGGGGCUCAAGCACGCCACCGAAGUUGUGGCAUUGACAUUUAUGGUAGGCCUUCGUGGUCCAGCCGUGUUGAUGGGUAGGAGAGCGUCGUGUGGCGAGUGAAGCGGCGGAGUGAUCCAGCCGUGGACGCUACACGAGUGAGAAUGCAGGCAUGAGUAGCGAAAGACGUGUGAGAAACACGUCCUCCGGAAGACCAAGGGUUCCAGGGUCAAGCUAAUCUUCCCUGGGUAAGUCGGGACCUAAGGCGAGGCCGACAGGCGUAGUCGAUGGACAACGGGUUGAUAUUCCCGUACCGGCGAAGAACCGCCCAAGCUAAUCCAGUAGUGCUAAGUAUCUGAAUCCCCAUGACCGGAUCCUUCGGGUGAUGGCUUGGGGCCUAGCGUACGACCCCAUUCUGGUGCGGCUAGCGUAUUAACAGGUGUGACGCAGGAAGGUAGCCCAGCCAGGCGAUGGUUGUCCUGGUGCAAGUGCGUAGGCCGAGAGAUAGGCAAAUCCGUCUCUCAUACAGGCUGAGACACGAUGCGGAUAAAAAGUGGGUGAUCCUAUGCUGCCAAGAAAAGCAUCGACGCGAGGUUCUAGCCGCCCGUACCCCAAACCGACUCAGGUGGUCAGGUAGAGAAUACCAAGGAGAUCGAGAGAAUCGUGGUUAAGGAACUCGGCAAAAUGCCCCCGUAACUUCGGGAGAAGGGGGGCCACCCGCUUAUACGGAUUUACUCCGAAAAGGGUGUGGUGGCCGCAGAGACUAGUGGGUAGCGACUGUUUACUAAAAACACAGGUCCGUGCCAAGUCGCAAGACGAUGUAUACGGACUGACGCCUGCCCGGUGCUGGAAGGUUAAGAGGACGGGUUAGCUUCGGCGAAGCUCAGAAUUUAAGCCCCAGUAAACGGCGGUGGUAACUAUAACCAUCCUAAGGUAGCGAAAUUCCUUGUCGGGUAAGUUCCGACCUGCACGAAUGGCGUAACGACUUCCCAACUGUCUCAACCGCGAACUCGGCGAAAUUGCAUUACGAGUAAAGAUGCUCGUUACGCGCAGCAGGACGGAAAGACCCCGUGACCUUUACUACAGCUUGGUAUUGGUGUUCGGUGUGGCUUGUGUAGGAUAGGUGGGAGACUUUGAAGCGGUGACGCCAGUUACCGUGGAGUCAUUGUUGAAAUACCACUCUGGUCACUCUGGAUAUCUAACUUCGAACCGUAAUCCGGUUCAGGGACAGUGCCUGGUGGGUAGUUUAACUGGGGCGGUUGCCUCCCAAAAAGUAACGGAGGCGCCCAAAGGUUCCCUCAACCUGGUUGGCAAUCAGGUGUCGAGUGUAAGUGCACAAGGGAGCUUGACUGUGAGACUGACAGGUCGAGCAGGGACGAAAGUCGGGACUAGUGAUCCGGCAGUGGCUUGUGGAAGCGCUGUCGCUCAACGGAUAAAAGGUACCUCGGGGAUAACAGGCUGAUCUUGCCCAAGAGUCCAUAUCGACGGCAUGGUUUGGCACCUCGAUGUCGGCUCGUCGCAUCCUGGGGCUGGAGUAGGUCCCAAGGGUUGGGCUGUUCGCCCAUUAAAGCGGUACGCGAGCUGGGUUUAGAACGUCGUGAGACAGUUCGGUCCCUAUCCGCUGCGCGCGUAGGAAGUUUGAGAGGAUCUGACCCUAGUACGAGAGGACCGGGUUGGACGAACCUCUGGUGUGCCAGUUGUUCCGCCAGGAGCACCGCUGGUUAGCUACGUUCGGGAUGGAUAACCGCUGAAAGCAUCUAAGCGGGAAGCCGGCCUCAAGAUGAGACUUCCAUACCUUCGGGUGAGAGGCUCCCAGCCAGACUACUGGGUUGAUAGGCCAGAUGUGGAAGCGUGGUAACACGUGCAGCUGACUGGUACUAAUAAGCCGAUGACUUGAUAACACACC